RNAcentral lists this ribosomal RNA (249 nucleotides) under uncultured bacterium. Its description in RNAcentral is "partial 16S ribosomal RNA". It matches the Rfam family "Bacterial small subunit ribosomal RNA", at positions 528 to 776 of the family's 1533-position model. The record is from RNAcentral.
UAGGGUGCAAGCGUUGUCCGGAAUUAUUGGGCGUAAAGAGCUCGUAGGCGGUUUGUCGCGUCUGCUGGGAAAACUCGGGGCUUAACCCCGGGCCUGCAGUGGGUACGGGCAGACUAGAGUGCGGUAGGGGAGACUGGAAUUCCUGGUGUAGCGGUGAAAUGCGCAGAUAUCAGGAGGAACACCGGUGGCGAAGGCGGGUCUCUGGGCCGUAACUGACGCUGAGGAGCGAAAGCGUGGGGAGCGAACAGG